CCUACGGGGGGCAGCAGUGAGGAAUAUUGGUCAAUGGCCGGAAGGCUGAACCAGCCAUGCCGCGUGAAGGUCAGUGCCCUAUGGGCGUUAAACUUCUGUUGUGCGGGAGCAAUAAUGGUCACGUGUGGCCAGACGAGAGUACCGUACGAAUAAGCAUCGGCUAACUCCGUGCCAGCAGACGCGGUAAUACGGGGGAUGCAAGCGUUAUCCGGAUUAAUUGGGUUUAAAGGGUGCGUAGGCUGUGAGGUAGGUCAGCGGUGAAAUGCCCCCGCUCACCGGGGUGAAGGGCCAUUGAUACUGCCGUGCUGGAAUGCGGAUGCCGUGGGAGGAAUGUGUGGUGUAGCGGUGAAAUGCAUAGAUAUCACACAGAACACCGAUUGCGAAGGCAUCUCACGAAGCCGCGAUUGACGCUGAUGCACGAAAGCGUGGGUAUCAAACAGGAUUAGAUACCCGGGUAGUC
RNAcentral lists this ribosomal RNA (460 nucleotides) under uncultured bacterium. RNAcentral describes it as "partial 16S ribosomal RNA". It matches the Rfam family "Bacterial small subunit ribosomal RNA", at positions 338 to 795 of the family's 1533-position model. The record is from RNAcentral.